RNAcentral lists this ribosomal RNA (378 nucleotides) under uncultured bacterium. RNAcentral's name for it is "bacterial SSU rRNA". It matches the Rfam family "Bacterial small subunit ribosomal RNA", at positions 523 to 898 of the family's 1533-position model. The record is from RNAcentral.
AUACGUAGGGAGCUAGCGUUGUCCGGAAUUACUGGGUGUAAAGCGCGUGUAGGCGGUCCUGCAAGUGGUGCGUGAAAGCGCCCGGCUCAACCGGGCGAGGACGUGGGCGACCUGCAGGGCUAGAGGCAGGUAGAGGCGUGUGGAAUUCCGGGUGUAGUGGUGAAAUGCGUAGAGAUCCGGAGGAACACCAGUGGCGAAGGCGACACGCUGGGCCUGGCCUGACGCUGAGAGGCGAAAGCAUGGGGAGCGAACGGGAUUAGAAACCCCGGUAGUCCAUGCCGUAAACGAUGCUGACUAGGUGUGGCGGGUAUGAACUCCUGCCGUGCCGGAGCCAACGUGGUAAGUCAGCCACCUGGGGACUACGGCCGCAAGGUUAAA